UACGUAGGGUGCGAGCGUUAAUCGGAAUUACUGGGCGUAAAGUGUGCGCAGGCGGCGUCGCAAGUCGAGUGUGAAAGCCCCGGGCUUAACUCGGGAAUUGCGCUCGAAACUACGGUGCUGGAGUAUGGCAGAGGAAGGUGGAAUUCCACGUGUAGCGGUGAAAUGCGUAGAGAUGUGGAGGAACACCGAUGGCGAAGGCAGCCUUCUGGGCCAAUACUGACGCUCAUGCACGAAAGCGUGGGGAGCAAACAGG
This 253-nucleotide ribosomal RNA is filed under the name uncultured bacterium. Its description in RNAcentral is "partial 16S ribosomal RNA". It matches the Rfam family "Bacterial small subunit ribosomal RNA", at positions 524 to 776 of the family's 1533-position model. The record is from RNAcentral.